This 473-nucleotide ribosomal RNA is filed under the name Waddliaceae bacterium. RNAcentral's name for it is "partial 23S ribosomal RNA". It matches the Rfam family "Bacterial large subunit ribosomal RNA", at positions 2453 to 2925 of the family's 2925-position model. The record is from RNAcentral. Lineage: Bacteria; Pseudomonadati; Chlamydiota; Chlamydiia; Parachlamydiales; Waddliaceae.
CGGAUAAAAGGUACUCCGGGGAUAACAGGCUUAUCGCCACCAAGAGUUCAUAUCGACGUGGCGGUUUGGCACCUCGAUGUCGGCUCAUCGCAUCCUGGGGCUGUAGCAGGUCCCAAGGGUUUGGCUGUUCGCCAAUUAAAGCGGUACGCGAGCUGGGUUCAAAACGUCGUGAGACAGUUUGGUCCCUAUCUGCUGCAGGCGUAGGAUACUUGAAAGGAGCUGCUUCUAGUACGAGAGGACCGAAGUGGACAAACCAAUGGUGUAUCGGUUGUUCUGCCAAGGGCAUUGCCGAGUAGCUAUGUUUGGAAAGGAUAAGCGUUGAAAGCAUCUAAACGCCAAGCCUCCCUUAAGAUAAGGUAUCCCAUGAGACCCCAUGAAGAUUACAUGGUAGAUAGGCUGGAGGUGUAAGCACAGCAAUGUGUUCAGCUGACCAGUACUAAUCGGUCGAUUGACUUAAUCUUUAUUUUGUUAUA